This 461-nucleotide ribosomal RNA is filed under the name uncultured bacterium. RNAcentral describes it as "partial 16S ribosomal RNA". It matches the Rfam family "Bacterial small subunit ribosomal RNA", at positions 339 to 795 of the family's 1533-position model. The record is from RNAcentral.
CUACGGGGUGCUGCAGUGGGGAAUCUUGCGCAAUGGGGGGAAACCCUGACGCAGCGACGCCGCGUGAACGAAGAAGGCCUUCGGGUUGUAAAGUUCUGUCGCGAGAGAAGAAUCUGGACGGGUAACGCCGUUCAGCGACGGUAUCUCGUGAGAAAGCAGUGGCUAACUCCGUGCCAGCAGCCGCGGUAAUACGGAGACUGCGAGCGUUGUUCGGAAUCACUGGGCGUAAAGCGGGUGUAGGUGGCUUGAUAAGUCGGAUGUGAAAGCCCACGGCUCAACCGUGGAGGGUCAUCCGAAACUGUCUGGCUUGAGUUUGGGAGAGGGAAGUGGAAUUCCCGUUGUAGAGGUGAAAUUCGUAGAUAUCGGGAGGAACACCAGUGGCGAAGGCGACUUCCUAGACCAAUACUGACGCUGAGACCCGAAAGCGUGGGGAGCAAACAGGAUUAGAUACCCCGGUAGUC